GAUGAACGCUGGCGGCGUGCUUAACACAUGCAAGUCGAGCGAGAAAGUUCUUCGGAACAAUCUAGCGGCGGACGGGUGAGUAACACGUGGGCAACCUGCCUCAUAGAGGGGAAUAGCCUUCCGAAAGGAAGAUUAAUACCGCAUAACAUCGUUGAAGGGCAUCCUUCGAUGAUCAAAGGAGUAAUCCGCUAUGAGAUGGGCCCGCGGCGCAUUAGCUAGUUGGUGAGGUAACGGCUCACCAAGGCAACGAUGCGUAGCCGACCUGAGAGGGUGAUCGGCCACAUUGGGACUGAGACACGGCCCAGACUCCUACGGGAGGCAGCAGUGGGGAAUAUUGCACAAUGGGGGAAACCCUGAUGCAGCAACGCCGCGUGAGUGAUGACGGCCUUCGGGUUGUAAAGCUCUGUCUUUGGGGACGAUAAUGACGGUACCCAAGGAGGAAGUCACGGCUAACUACGUGCCAGCCGCCGCGGUAA
This 476-nucleotide ribosomal RNA is filed under the name uncultured bacterium. Its description in RNAcentral is "partial 16S ribosomal RNA". It matches the Rfam family "Bacterial small subunit ribosomal RNA", at positions 28 to 523 of the family's 1533-position model. The record is from RNAcentral.